AUCGCUUCUCGGCCUGUUGGCUAAGAUCAAGUGUAGUAUCUUGGCUUAUUUGUAUUUUUUUUUCUUUCAGUUGUAAUGUUAAUGCUAGUAUCGUGUAAUAGUGAUUUAACAAUCAAGUACUA
This 122-nucleotide small nuclear RNA is filed under the name Naja naja (Indian cobra). Its description in RNAcentral is "U2 spliceosomal RNA (ENSNNAG00000001362.1)". It matches the Rfam family "U2 spliceosomal RNA". From Rfam's summary of the family: U2 is a small nuclear RNA (snRNA) component of the spliceosome (involved in pre-mRNA splicing). Complementary binding between U2 snRNA (in an area lying towards the 5' end but 3' to hairpin I) and the branchpoint sequence (BPS) of the intron results the bulging out of an unpaired adenosine, on the BPS, which initiates a nucleophilic attack at the intronic 5' splice site, thus starting the first of two transesterification reactions that mediate splicing. Lineage: Eukaryota; Metazoa; Chordata; Lepidosauria; Squamata; Elapidae. The record is from Rfam by way of RNAcentral.